UGUAUCUUCUUCAACCUUUUUUCCAUCAUCUUCUUGAAAGGACUCUUCACCACACGAUUUCAUCUUCAUCUUCAUACACCUUCAACCUUCCACUUCAUUCUUCACGAUUCCUUCGAUCAUCAUCACACUUCUUCAACGGUCAAUCUUCAUCGAGUCCACGGUUUUCUCUGCUUCAACCUAAUAGCUUCAACACACGGUAUCGACGCGAAGGAAAAGCGCAAAUCCAAAAAGGGAAAAGAAGAAUACGUUAUCAGAACCACACACGGAAACAAAGAAGAAGAAGGAUUUGAAUCGGAUAAGUGA
This is a non-coding RNA of Vicia faba (fava bean), 303 nucleotides long. The record is from the annotation of a GenBank genome assembly. NCBI's taxonomy places the organism in Eukaryota, Viridiplantae, Streptophyta, Magnoliopsida, Fabales, Fabaceae.